Non-coding RNA from Parvimonas micra ATCC 33270, 76 nucleotides. NCBI's taxonomy places the organism in Bacteria, Bacillati, Bacillota, Tissierellia, Tissierellales, Peptoniphilaceae. The record is from Rfam.
AUGCCUAAUGAUAAAGCUAUUAAUAUUUCACCAUGGUUACACUAGUUUAGUUAUCAAAAGGAAACUAUGGUAUAAU